AAGUCGUAACAAGGUUUCCGUAGGUGAACCUGCGGAAGGAUCAUUAUCAACGUUAUCCACGUACUAACCAUUACCAAAAAUGUGAACUGUCUCAAUCCUCUGAGUGAAGCGGUUGGAAGUGCGAUUCUUUGAUGGUUUUACUUUCAAAGAAACGCUGUCUUUCUCAGAGUGUAUUUUCUAACUACACUUCCUAACACAAUCAAAACUAUUAACAAAUUGAACCGAAACUAAAUUUACUUCUUUACUGUGAACUGAAUUAUCAUUCUUUUACUCGUUUUGUUUUUUCUUCCUUUGCAAAAAGGCAGUGAACGAACAGUGAACGAUGAUCAAUUUACGAAACUAAUAAGAACAACUCUUAGCAACGGAUAUCUUGGUUCUC
This 379-nucleotide unclassified non-coding RNA is filed under the name fungal sp. RNAcentral describes it as "partial internal transcribed spacer region". The stretch from base 1 to 46 matches the Rfam family "Eukaryotic small subunit ribosomal RNA", at positions 1786 to 1831 of the family's 1831-position model. The record is from RNAcentral. Lineage: Eukaryota; Fungi.